This 490-nucleotide ribosomal RNA is filed under the name uncultured bacterium. RNAcentral's name for it is "partial 16S ribosomal RNA". It matches the Rfam family "Bacterial small subunit ribosomal RNA", at positions 30 to 507 of the family's 1533-position model. The record is from RNAcentral.
AUUGAACGCUGGCGGCAGGCCUAACACAUGCAAGUCGAACGGUAACAGGAAGAAGCUUGCUUCUUUGCUGACGAGUGGCGGACGGGUGAGAAAUGUCUGGGAAACUGCCUGAUGGAGGGGGAUAACUACUGGAAACGGUAGCUAAUACCGCAUAACGUCUCAAGACCAAAGAGGGGGACCUUCUGGCCUCUUGCCAUCGGAUGUGCCCAGAUGGUAUUAGCUAGUAGGUGGGGUAACGGCUCACCUAGUCGACGAUCCCUAGCUGGUCUGAGAGGAUGACAAGCCACACUGGAACUGAGACACGGUCAAGACUCCUACGGGAGGCAGCAGUGGGGAAUAUUGCACAAUGGGCGGAAGCCUGAUGCAGCCAUGCCGCGUGUAUGAAGAAGGCCUUCGGGUUGUAAAGUCCUUUCAGCGGGGAGGAAGGGAGUAAAGUUAAUACCUUGGCUCAUUGACGUUAACCGCAGAAGAAGCACCGGCUAACUCCGUG